This 17-nucleotide transfer RNA is filed under the name Canis lupus (wolf). RNAcentral's name for it is "partial tRNA-Met". The record is from RNAcentral. Lineage: Eukaryota; Metazoa; Chordata; Mammalia; Carnivora; Canidae.
AGUAAGGUCAGCUAAAU